RNAcentral lists this unclassified non-coding RNA (240 nucleotides) under soil metagenome. RNAcentral describes it as "partial contains 5.8S ribosomal RNA, internal transcribed spacer 2, and large subunit ribosomal RNA". The record is from RNAcentral.
AACUGAUACUACCUGCGGGAACCUGCGGAGGGAUCAUUAACACGUAUCCAAACGAUACCAACCCUUGUGUGAACUUGUAACUGUUAAAUCGGACACUGGGACUUUGCGUCUCUUUGUCCGGGUGUCCUUGUUGCUCGCCAACUCGGAUACCGUUAUUUACUCUAUUUACCAAACCCCUUUUCUUGUUGACUGACAUUACGUCUCUGUUUCGAAAGGAAGGAGACUUGCAAUUCUGGCUUC